Molecule: long non-coding RNA, 455 nt
Filed under: Sorghum bicolor (sorghum)
Lineage: Eukaryota; Viridiplantae; Streptophyta; Magnoliopsida; Poales; Poaceae
Description: long non-coding RNA (SBIC_LNC016411)
Source: RNAcentral
UACAACUUUGGUAUUCAUUAUAAAGACUGGUUUGACCUUUAGCAUUGACAAAAACUGGAUCAAUCUAUUACUAUCCAGAACAACAUGGAAACGGCAACAACUAUAGUAAAAAAAAUCUCAAACCACAUAGCCUAAAAUCAUGAAAUUUUACAGAUGGUUAAAGGAAAUAUCUUUAAAUUUGUGUUCAAUGGUUUGGCCAAUUCAGCCUGUAACAAAAAUAAAAAUGGCGAUGAACACAGACUACACAACCUCAUAAAUUCUCAGGAUGUGGACAUGAUCACUUGUGAGAACUACCCCAUCUAAUCUAACAAAAAAACCAGGGUAUAAAUCUAAUCGAAAGCAAGGGUGUUAAAUAAGAUUCAUCUCACCUAGAUUACGCAAUAAAAAAACUUAGGGUUUGUGCAAUCUCUUUUCUCAUUCAUUUGUCUUCCUUAUUUUCUAUAUCAUUCCUCCCU